Non-coding RNA from Cordylochernes scorpioides, 89 nucleotides. Lineage: Eukaryota; Metazoa; Arthropoda; Arachnida; Pseudoscorpiones; Chernetidae. The record is from the annotation of a GenBank genome assembly.
GCAUCGCUAGUUCAGUGGUAAAAUGCUCGCCUGCCAUGCGGGCGGCCCGGGUUCGACUUUUGCACUUACAAAUGUCCCAGAGCUGUGUU